RNAcentral lists this ribosomal RNA (253 nucleotides) under uncultured bacterium. RNAcentral's name for it is "partial 16S ribosomal RNA". It matches the Rfam family "Bacterial small subunit ribosomal RNA", at positions 524 to 776 of the family's 1533-position model. The record is from RNAcentral.
GACGAACCGUGCGAACGUUGUUCGGAAUCACUGGGCUUAAAGGGCGCGUAGGCGGUUGACCAAGUCUGGGGUGAAAUCUUUCGGCUUAACCGGAAAAGUGCCUUGGAAACUGGUCAGCUGGAGGGAGGUAGGGGCAGCUGGAACUUCCGGUGGAGCGGUGAAAUGCGUUGAUAUCGGAAGGAACGCCGGUGGCGAAAGCGAGCUGCUGGACCUUUUCUGACGCUGAUGCGCGAAAGCUAGGGGAGCAAACGGG